CGAACAUUCUGCUGUGAUGUCACCAAUAUUCGUAUGUGCAUGUUACUUACUGACCCUCUUCCCAAACACCACAGCAGCCCGGUGGAAACUGUUCUCCCAUUUGAGAAGGGAAAGCUCCUGUAUGUAGCUCAAACUCCAAAAGUAAAUGACCAGUUCAUUGAAAUUCCUGUACUGACGGAAUUCCUGGCUGACAAUGGGCAGAAGAUCCCCAUUCCGCCCCUCUCGGAGGACUUUGUGAUAUUGCCACAAAUGAAUCAUACUUCUGAGGCCAUAGGAGAGAAUGUCAUCACUUCUAUCCUCUCCUACAUAGUCUUCAAUAAACCCCAUUCCUUCUCUUGUACCCCUCAAACGGUGAGUGA
RNAcentral lists this long non-coding RNA (359 nucleotides) under Gopherus agassizii (Agassiz's desert tortoise). RNAcentral describes it as "lncRNA (ENSGAGG00000022519.1)". The record is from RNAcentral. Lineage: Eukaryota; Metazoa; Chordata; Testudines; Testudinidae.